AUUAUUAGUUUCACAUUUUAAGUUGAAUUACAGAAUUGUCUGAGUUUCACCUGCACUAGUGGCGGGUACAGUGUGAUGUCGGCACCGUCGGCAGUUUUCUGUUUCUGUCGACACGGCGGCACCAUUGGGUGUCGCUCUUGCCUUAACAUCAUUUCCUUUAGAGGAAGUUGCCAACCGGAUUUCCUUCUUUCUUGCUUGUGGUUGAAGACGUGUCAGUCGUCUGUGGAGUGGCAGGACAGAUACUGGGCCGGAUAAAGCUUCAAUCUCAGGAUCACACGAUAUUGACGAAGGCCGCGUUGUCUUCGAGUGACAGUGAAUCACAGGGUGUUUGACGCCAGUCUGAGACGAACGACCACAGGAGUCCCUGAGCUGCCAAACGACAUUCAACUGAAAUCUGAGAUGGCUAAAGCGGUGCAGGUAAAGAACGAGCCUCGGGCCCAGGCACGAGGAAAGAUGGUCCCUGAGCUCAUGCGUGUGAAGUAUGGCAGAAGUCAGGGCCCUUUAAGAGCGUCUCCAAUGACCGAGCUGAUGAUGAGUCUGCAACAUUCAGUCUGUCAGGUCAGAAUCGACGGCAGAGGAGCGGGCAGUGGUUUCCUCCUAUAUGACAACCUUGUCGCCACAAACUCCCAUGUAAUUAAGGAUGCUUUUGAUCCUAGUAGCUACAGGCUUUUGGAACAUGUCACUGUUGAUUUUCCCUUUGAACGUGUAGGACACCCUCGUGUAGAACACAAAGUAAAGGAGGUAUUUGACUUCCAGGACGGGUUGGAUGAGUCAGGGCACAAAUGUGACUGGGCCUUGUUGAGUCUGGCUGCAGAUCCAAAGUCACCACUUCCAGCCGGCCUACUGCCAUACUGUGGGUUUGGGCAAAGUGACAGCAUUUGUAUCAUAGGAGACCCAGACAGCGGUGUGGAAAGGGUUGAUUUCACCUCGGUUAUACCUGUUGAUCAAGUUUCAGUGAAGGUGUCAGCUGAGGUUACUCAGUUUGGUCCUUCAGACUUUGCUGAUCGCAUGGAAAUGGAGGUUAGUAACACUCCAAAUUUAUACCAUAAGACCCGCUUAUCAUUUGGCGCUUCAGGCUCCCCAGUCUUUGACAGUGGCUGUGAUGUAGUGGCGAUGCACUCAGGUGGAUCUGAUUACAAAGAUUCCUCUGGAGCGCUCCAGAGUGUUGAGUAUAGACUCCCUCUGUUCUCCAUUCUUGAAAACCUCAUUGUGAAGUUAAUGCGCAGAGGUAAACUGGAUGAAUUGAAGAAAUAUCUGGAGACUGAUUUUAAGCAUCACGACUUCAUCAAACAUAAUGUGAAGAAACUGGUUGACAGCCGAAAUUACAACUUUAUUGCAAUUAUUAAAAAUGCAAUCAACAAUUUAAAUUUUAAUGAUGAUAUUUUGAAUAACUUUUUUCAGUUCAUCUGUCGCACUGAACCUCCAAUUCCAAUGAUCACUGAAUAGAACUAUGACACUUUGUGGAUUUUUGUUAUUGUACAUGUUUCUACAUUGUGAUGUAGCUGUUCACCAACAAUGGCAAUAAAAACUAUUCUGAACGUCUGUCUGUUGUAUUUUUAUGUGUAUAUCGGACCUUGUAUUGCUAACAGUGGGUUUCACGUAUUUUGGAAAAAGUCACAAACCCUCUUUAAAGUAGGCUACUGUAUAUUUCAUUCAUGUUGCAUCCGUAUCAAGGUGAUAUUUGAUAGUAAGAUACUGUAUGUUAGGGGGAAAAAAUAAUAAAUGAAUGAAUCUGUCAGUGGAAGGGUUAAUUUUCUCCACGGACCUCCAGGGACCAGUGCAUGAUCGCUGCAUGGAUGUGGAUCGCUGUCGCUGGGUACUCUCUCUGUCCGCAGUUUUGUUGCAAUGGAAGUAAUAUUAAAUAUCCAAAGUAUAUUAGCUGAUCAUGCAUUUGUCUGAUAAAUCUUAUGAGCUAAGUAACCAAAAUAUUAUUGGUCACUUCUAGGGUUGUUCUGAUACCGAUCCUGGUAUCUGAGUUCCUAAACCCAAACCCGUCUGAGGUCUAAUUGUGUUUUUCGGCUCUGCAGACGAUAAAAUCCAGAAUAAUCACAUUUGUGUUUUCUUUUUUUUUUGUCUUCGUAGUAUCAAGCAGCAUAAGUCACAGUGCAUUGACUUUGUUUAAUCUGCAUAAUGAACCAUGUGCAAUAGCUUUUGGCAUAUUUUUACAGGCUUUAGUAUAGUUUUAUUAUAGUUUUUAUUCACUUCCUGUGGUAUCAGACGGUGCUCGGUAUCAGCGACUUCUCUGAACCCAAGUGUGGGGAUCGGAAACACUGGUAUGGGAGAGUGAAGUAAGUUAAGCCACCCUUAUAUUUUAAAAAUAAAACUCCCUAAAAAUGUACUUGGGGACAUUUGAACUAUGACAUUUGAAAUAAAUAAUAUCAAUCCCUCAUUUUGUCAGACUCUCGCAGUAAGUCAUUUACAUUCUCUUUCGAUGCACUUCCACCAGGGGGCCCCAGACUCACUGCUCUAAGGAACCAGCACGGCUGCUUUGUAACUUAGCCAGGCACCUGAGAAAUGCUGUAAUGGUGUUAAUGAUCAGCCCUGACAGCAGAUCAGCUCCACGUUUGUAUUUGAGAGAGUGAAGCAGUUUCAGUACCUCAGUGACGGCGGAGGCGAGCAGAGAGGGCAGCGUCUCGUCCACACUUUGGAUCAGGCGUCGCAGAGUUAAACCCACGCUCUGAAAGAAACACAGACUUAGCUCAGAACCUUUCAGAACAGGAAAUACAACCAGACAUU
Molecule: long non-coding RNA, 2736 nt
Filed under: Neogobius melanostomus (round goby)
Lineage: Eukaryota; Metazoa; Chordata; Actinopteri; Gobiiformes; Gobiidae
Description: lncRNA (ENSNMLG00000021840.1)
Source: RNAcentral